Mya arenaria is the source of this 2505-nucleotide long non-coding RNA. RefSeq lists it as uncharacterized. NCBI's taxonomy places the organism in Eukaryota, Metazoa, Mollusca, Bivalvia, Myida, Myidae. The transcript is spliced from 5 exons. The record is from RefSeq and is a predicted model, not a curated record.
GAUGGAAGGAAAUUAAUCGAAGAAAAAGAAAGCGGAAGUGAAAUUUGACAGUCUGACAUUGAAAAUGUAAACAGAAACAAAAUCCAGCAGAUAUUUUCUGUUUGCAUACUUAUGAUGACUGAAAAAGGAAAUAAGCAAUUUUUCAUCAUCUCACCGCAGCCAACUAUCAAUACAAUUAUUGAUGGAUUUUACGAAUUCAUUUUGAGUUGCAGUUUAACUGUCUUUUUAGCAAUGUUGAAGAUGAAUUUAAAUUUGUAGAUGAACUUUUUUUAGCAAUGUUGAUUUAUGUGCAUAACAAACCAUCUCAUGAGGUUCAGGUAAAUUGAAAUAAAUUUCUAUAAUGAUGAAGAUGACCAUGAGGAUUAUGAAAAUAAUAGACUGAUGCAAUUGGGGGAAAUGUUUUUUUAUAUAAUUAAAGAACUGCUUUUUGAGUAUGUAUGACAUUCAUACUGCCAGGAACUUUCUUUGGCAUGCAAUAUUGUGUACCUGUUGAUCUGCCAGGGCAUCACCCCAACUAUAAACAGUUAAAGAUUUGUAUUUCUGUAAAUACAUAUUUUUAGAACAUCAUGCUCUAAUGUGAAAUUUCAGGUCAAGCACCUGCUGUACAUAGAACAACAACUCAUUACAUCUUUGACUAUGCAGAGCAGGUAUUCUACCCAUACUAGGCACAGCAAGAGGGCCCUGCUUUGAAGUGUCUGUAAAUCAUAUGGUUCUCAGAUAUUUAUCUCAGUGAUAAGGGUUUAGCUAUUAUUUGGCCAAUGGUGUGGUACCUCAUUUUCAACAUCAUCCAUAUGGAGAAGAAUCUGCAUACCUGUACGUUGACAACUGUGUUGGGCAGAGUAAAAACAAUGCAGUCAUUGGGGUCUGAUGUAUUCUGAAGGGGCUACAUAGAGAAAUAGCAUUUACUUAAAUGGAAGCAGGUGAAAUAAAGUUCAGUCCUGUCUGAGAUUUGGUCUGUGGAAGACCAAAUGGAGGCAGCACACAUCCUUUGUGGAUUGAUGACCUUGGCAAACUGGUUAUAUUCUUUGACUGGUUGGAGUACACCAAGAGACCCCUGAAGUCCAUUCCAAACUUGAGGAAAUAUCAUCACUUCAGAACUUCAGCUGCAACCCAGUCAGUGAAUUCAUGGGAGAGCAUGUCAAGGACAGUGAGAUUGAAGUUAAAAUUGACAAGCCUACAACAAUGGCUUUUCCAUGGAGAGUACCCUGAACGCAUCCAACUAAAAGGACUUGAUGCAAAAAGGCUCUGAUCCCUUAAAUAACUGAAAAAUAACUUUUCAGUAUACUGAUAUGUGAUCUUUAUAAACUAAAUCUAAGAUUUGAGAAUGAUCCGUUACUGAGCUGAUGAAAACGUGUAUCAAUUUUUAUUGACAAUUAUUUAUUCAAUAGAAACAUGUUUAUGUGAAAUAAGGCUACCAAUGAUUUCUAGUGAUGGAAGGGUGCUGCACCCAGUCUUUUGUUUGUAGAACUCUUCUGCCAUAAUGGAGACCACUAUAUGAUUAAUAAUUAUUAAUACAAACUUAAAAAAGCUGGCAGUUGAAGCCUAUAAAUGCUUGAGUUAAAGACAUUUAUAAUAUUGUUUGUCAAAAUUAGUUACUUCACAGCCUGUACCUUAGCAACCUUUCAGUUUUUCUUCAAUAUCUUCAUUUUUAAAACCUUCCUGAACCCUAUAAACAUUUUUAGCUUUAACUUUUACCCUAUGAAUAAGCAUCAAGAAUACCAUUUGUCAUGUACUAUGUGACCAAUUGCACUUCUUGAAACUACAUAAUGAUGUGUACAUGCAGUAGGUUAGUAUGUUAAAUUAAUUGUUUUCAUUUUGUAAAUGUGCCCAUUUAUUAACUGAUCUUUUUAUACAAUAGUGUAAAUUAUGCAGUAUUGUUAUGUUUAUUAAAUAAGAGUAUAUUAACCACCAUUUCAUGUUUUAUGAGCAAUGAAUAAAUACAAUGAUCACAUUUGAGGUAAAUUGGUAAAGUUGGUGUGAUUAUAAUCAUGUUUGUGCCUGUUGCCAUGGUAACCAGGAUAAAAACAAACCCUUAAAGACCAUUCAAAUAAGAUAAAGUAUAGUAAAUUACAGUGGUUACAUCCUUUAACCUCCAGAUAAACAUUGGUUUGUAUAAGGUGCAAGUUACAACCUAAUGUAAAUUUAUUGUGAAAAAUUUCCAAUAAACUACGGUACUUGGUGAACAGUUUUUAUUUAUUCUGACAUUUGUCAAAUACAUACACCAGGUACAAUAAGGUUUGAGGAUAUCAAUUAACAAAUCAAUUAUUACUGAAUGCUUCAGAUGACAUUUAUUGUAUAAUUACAUGCAAAUUUAACCCCAAAACGCCUUUUUUCAAUAAUGGUUGCCAUGGUAACCAAUUAAUUUUAAUUUAUUUUCUCAAUAAUAAUUGAGAAUGCUUUUGAAAAUAUGUUGUUGUCGUUAUAAUGUGGGAAUUGUGUAUAUAGUAGUAAUGCAUAUUUAUUGCAUCUGUGAAUACAAAUGUUUCAAUAAAUUCUUGAACUUAC